UCGGUGCUUGCACCGACACAUGAUCGAGUGGCGAACGGGUGAGUAACACGUGAGGAACCUGCCCCGAAGCUCGGGACAACCACGGGAAACCGUGGCUAAUACCGAAUGACCUCCUUUGGCCGCAUGGUCAGUUGAGGAAAGUUCAGGCGCUUCGGGAGGGUCUCACGGCCUAUCAGCUAGUUGGUGAGGUAACGGCUCACCAAGGCAACGACGGGUAGCUGGUCUGAGAGGACGAUCAGCCACACUGGGACUGAGACACGGCCCAGACUCCUACGGGAGGCAGCAGUGGGGAAUCUUGCGCAAUGGGCGAAAGCCUGACGCAGCCACGCCGCGUGAGGGAAGACGGCCCUAGGGUUGUAAACCUCUUUCAGCAGGGACGAAAAUGACGGUACCUGCAGAAGAAGCCCCGGCCAACUACGUGCCAGCAGCCGCGGUAACACGUAGGGGGCAAGCGUUGUCCGGAAUUAUUGGGCGUAAAGAGCUCGUAGGCGGUUUGGUAAGUCGGAUGUGAAAACUCAGGGCUCAACCCGGAGACGCCAUCCGAUACUGCCAUGACUAGAGUCCGGUAGAGGAGCGUGGAAUUCCCGGUGUAGCGGUGAAAUGCGCAGAUAUCGGGAGGAACACCAGCGGCGAAGGCGGCGCUCUGGGCCGGAACUGACGCUGAGGAGCG
RNAcentral lists this ribosomal RNA (670 nucleotides) under uncultured Actinomycetes bacterium. RNAcentral describes it as "bacterial SSU rRNA". It matches the Rfam family "Bacterial small subunit ribosomal RNA", at positions 73 to 755 of the family's 1533-position model. The record is from RNAcentral. Lineage: Bacteria; Bacillati; Actinomycetota; Actinomycetes.